AUGGACCUGCGCCGCAAGGGCCGGCGCGAGGCGCGGCUCAAGCAGGAGAUCGAGAAGUACCGUGCCUCCAGCCCUAAGAUCACCGAGCAGUUUGCCGAUCUCAAGAGGAAAUUAACAGAUGUUUCAGUGCAGGAGUGGGAGAGCAUACCUGAAAUCGGGGACUACUCGGCGCGCAACAAAAGAAGCGCUUCGAGAGCUUCGUGCCGUGCCGGACACUCUGCUCGAGAAGGCCCGGCAGGAGCACGGGCAUGUCACGGCGCUGGACCCCAAGAGCAGCGCCGCUGGUGGCACAGAGACGCCGUGGGCGAGGGCCGCGGUACCGUGCUUUCGCUCAAGUUGGACAGGUUGUCGGAUUCAGUUUCGGGGCUCACUGUUGUUGAUACAAAAGGAUACCUUACAGACUUGAACAUCAUGAAAAUUGCUAGCAAUUAUUUCAGCAGCAAUGCCGAGAUCUCUGACAUUAAGAAGGCAAGACUGCUGCUCAGGUCCAUAACGCAGACAAACCCAAAGCAUCCUCCUGGUUGGAUUGCUGCUGCUAGGCUCGAAGAGGUUGCUGGCAAGCUCCAGUCUGCUUGGCAGCUCAUUCAGCGUGGCUGCGAGGAGUUCCCCAAAAAUGAAGAUGUUUGGAUCGAGGCAUGCCGGUUGGCUAGCCCAAAAGAGUCCAAGGCGGUCAUUGCCAGGGGUGUCAAGGCAAUUCCCAAUUCUGUGAAGCUGUGGCUGCAGGCUGCAAAACUAGAGACUAGUGAUUUGAACAAGAGCAGGGUUUUGAGGAAGGGGCUGGAGCACAUUCCUGGUUCAGCAGGCUAUGGAAGGCUGAUGUUGCUUCACAGGGCUGUGGAGUGCUGCCCACUUCAUGUCGACCUGUGGCUUGCCCUCGCAAGGCUCGAGACAUAUGAUAAGGCAAGGAAGGUGCUUAAUAAAGCCAGGGAGAAGCUCGACAAGGAACCUGCCAUUUGGAUUACAGCUGCAAAGCUAGAGGAAGCUAAUGAGAAUACCCAAUCUGUAAGCAAGAUGAUUGAGAGAGGUGUAGGAUCUUUGCAGAGAGGGGGGUUGGAUAUUGACAGGGAGGCAUGGCUAAAAGAAGCCGAAGCUGCAGAGCGGGCCGGGUCUGUGCUUACUUGCCAGGCUAUUGUCAAAAACACUAUCGGAUUUGGGGUUGAUGAUGAGGACCGGAAGCGAACAUGGGUUGCGGAUGCAGAGGAAUGCACGAAACGAGGUUCAAUUGAGACAGCUCGGGCCAUCUAUGCACAUGAUCUUGGCGUGUUCAUUACCAAGAAGAGUAUAUGGCUUAAAGCGGCGCAGCUUGAGAAGAGCCAUGGGACAGGAGAAUCUCUUGAAGUCGUUCUCGUAAAGGCUGUCAAGUACAAUCCAAAAGCCGAAGUGUUAUGGCUUAUGCAUGCUAAGGACAAAUGGCUGGCUGGCGAUGUCCACGCAGCUCGGGCCGUUCUUCAGGAAGCUUAUGCUGCUAUCCCCAUUUCAGAGGAGAUCUGGUUAGCUGCAUUCAAGUUAGAGUUCGAGAACAACGAACCGGAGAGAGCAAGAAUGCUUUUGACCAAGGCCAGGGAAAGAGGAGGAGCUGAGAGGGUUUGGAUGAAAUCAGCAAUUGUUGAGAGGGAACUAGGAAAUGUGAAUGAGGAAAGGAGAAUGUUGGUGGAAGGCCUGAAGUUAUUCCCCUCAUUCUUCAAAUUGUGGUUAAUGCUACGGCAGAUGGAAGCCCGGAUUGGCCAUGGAGCGAUGGCAAAGGAGGUAUACGAGAAUGGACUCACGCACUGCCCCGGUUGCAUCCCUCUUUGGCUCUCGCUAGCUAGUCUAGAGGAGAGGAUAAAUGGCUUGAGCAAGUCACGCGCAUUCCUCACCAUGGCAAGGAAAAAGAAUCCAGCGACACCUGAACUAUGGCUUGCAGCUAUUCGAGCUGAAUUGGGGCAUGGAAACAACCAAGAAGCUGAUUCUCUACUAGCCAAGGCAUUGCAAGAGUGUCCAACAAGUGGUGUUUUGUGGGCUGCAGCUAUAGAGAUGGUGCCACGUCCCCAACGCAAAUCAAAGAGCUCAGAUGCUCUAAAGAGAUGUGAUCAUGAUCCGGAUGUCAUCGCAGCUGUAGACAAAUUUUUCUGGCAUGACAGGAAGGUUGAUAAAGCAAGAAGUUGGUUCAACAGAGCUGUUACUCUUGCUCCUGAUAUUGGGGAUUUUUGGGCGUUGUACUGUAAAUUUGAACUUCAGCAUGGAAAUGCAGAUACGCAAAGGGAUAAAUGGCAAGCUACAAGCAAGGCUGUUGAGAACUCACAUCAGCCAGUUGAUGCCAUUCUGAGGAGAGUCGUUCUGGCACUUGGUGUGGAAGAAAAUCACAAUGCUGCAGAGCCCUAG
RNAcentral lists this ribosomal RNA (2361 nucleotides) under Triticum aestivum (bread wheat). RNAcentral describes it as "partial small subunit ribosomal RNA". Lineage: Eukaryota; Viridiplantae; Streptophyta; Magnoliopsida; Poales; Poaceae. The record is from RNAcentral.